RNAcentral lists this ribosomal RNA (466 nucleotides) under uncultured Alphaproteobacteria bacterium. RNAcentral's name for it is "bacterial SSU rRNA". It matches the Rfam family "Bacterial small subunit ribosomal RNA", at positions 9 to 521 of the family's 1533-position model. Lineage: Bacteria; Pseudomonadati; Pseudomonadota; Alphaproteobacteria. The record is from RNAcentral.
GAGUUUGAUCAUGGCUCAGAACGAACGCUGGCGGCAGGCUUAACACAUGCAAGUCGAACGCAUCCUUCGGGGUGAGUGGCAGACGGGUGAGUAACGCGCGGGAACGUGCCCUUCAGUUCGGAAUAACCCAGGGAAACUUGGGCUAAUACCGGAUACGUGCGAGAGCAGAAAGAUUUAUCGCCGAAGGAUCGGCCCGCGUCUGAUUAGCUAGUUGGUGAGGUAAUGGCUCACCAAGGCGACGAUCAGUAGCUGGUCUGAGAGGAUGAUCAGCCACAUUGGGACUGAGACACGGCCCAAACUCCUACGGGAGGCAGCAGUGGGGAAUAUUGGACAAUGGGCGCAAGCCUGAUCCAGCCAUGCCGCGUGAGUGAUGAAGGCCUUAGGGUUGUAAAGCUCUUUCAGUGGGGACGAUAAUGACGGUACCCGCAGAAGAAGCCCCGGCUAACUUCGUGCCAGCAGCCGCAGU